CCUGUAACACCGUGCCAUCGUUCCGAUCAAACGGACGCUCUUCUCCUUGAAAUUCCUUUUUCUAUUUCAUUUCAUUUCAUUGUUCUUUUUUCUUUUCUUUUCUUUUCUUUUCUUUUCUUUACUUUUCUUUUUUCACAGUCAAAAAUCUAAUUCAACAAACUUACAUUUUCGCACGAAACCAUUUUGUCGUCAGAGUUGCAAGUCAUACAUACACGUAUACAUAUGUGUCUUGCAACGAAUACCUAUUACGUACAUAUGUGCACCAACUCCUCGACGAAGGAACGGAUAGGAGGAAAAUAGAAGAUACGGCGAGAACGUAAGGUGUACCAUCAACGUGCUAGACAAUUUUAGUUUUAAAAAAAGCCCGAACAAGUUAUUUUUAUUGUUGCUAUUGUUGUUAUUAUUAUUAUGGCUGUACUCGAAGCGUUCAAUUGUGUUUUAACGUGAUAAUUGGGGAAAGAGAUUAGAUACUUUUUCCAAUGUCGCGAUUUCUUUCUUUUUUUUGCACACUUUUGAAAAAAGUUUCUUUCCUUGCAAAUUUAAGAUUAAAAUUCACAUCAAACUUUAAAUAUUAAUUGCAACUAUCCAAAAUAAAAACGCACUUCUUUUCUUACGUAAAUUAUCGAGAAUACAAAAAGAAAAAAAAAUCCGGGAAAAGAAAAAAGGAGACAAAAGAAUGAACGCGCGAUAGUGUGCGAUAUAGUUACGACGAAAGAGGAACGAAAGAGAUAGAAAACAAAAAAAAAAAAAGAGAAAGGAAAUACAUAUGUACUUUCCUAAACAUGCAAAGUUAUCGAAGAUGAAGUAGACUAGGUCAUUUGAUGAAUGACGUAAACAUGUCGAGGAUAACGGCAGCCACAAUGCGUUCGUACUCCGAGUUUGCAAAAUACUAAUCUAAAAACUUAUUCUAAAACAAUGAAAAACUAUUUCUAAUAGUCUAAUGUAUUUGAUACUUUAAAAAACGGAGUACGAAUGUUUUCGUACAGCAAGUGUGCGUCGUAAAUCAUCAAGAAGUGACAAGCGUGUUUUAACAUAAAACAAAGAGGGAGUCAAAAAGGAAGUAGAAGAAAAGUAAAGAAAAGAAAAGAAAAAAGAAAGAAGAAAGAUAGAGGAAACGAACGAACGAAAACAAAAAUAAAACAAAAAAAGAAAGAAAGAAAGAAAAAGAGAAGAAAAAAAAUAAUUAAAAAACUAGUGUCAUUCUCUCAUGCACACAGCGAAGGUGAAGAAGAUAAGAAGAAGAUACGAUCAAUCGCGAUCGGACAUAUUUACAAAUGUUUUAAAAUAGUACGUACCUACUUGACGUCACAAGCCGCGUUAAAACAGGGCACAUCUCGAGACCUCGAUAGAAAAAGAGAAAGAGAGAGAGAGAAAGAGAAAGAGAGAGAGAGAGAGAGAGAGAGAAAGAGAGAGAGAAAGAAAGAGAGAGAGAAAGAAAGAGAUACAAAUAACACCGAUUCGGACCAUCAAUGUACCCUUAUUCCCGGUAUUCAAGCGUGCACCCAAUGUGCAUAACAACUAUGUAUAAUAAUUAUAAAUCUAUGUAUUUAAAUACUCGACGAUGUAAUUUGCGUGGAAGCGAGCGAGCACAUACACACGUACGAGUGCUUUGCUCAAACCGGGAACGAUGGAUCGUCCUCGUUAAGAGGACUCUCCAGGGGGUGGAGACUCUUGCGAAGGAACAACGAAAUAUAGAUCAUAGUGUGCGAGUACCUACAACCGUCCGUUAUAUUCUCGUAAACUUAACGAGAAAAUAUGACAUCUGUGGAAGUAACUUCAUUUGAAUUUCCAGUUGCCCCAUAAAUCGUUGCAAGUAUGUGUGUGCACGUCUCCGUUAUUUUACAAAUUAAAAUAGUCCGAUCUUCUUUAACUAUGAAAAAUUUUCAAGGGAAAUUUUUUCUCUUCAAAAAUUAUUAAAAAUUAUAUAUACGAUUAAUUAUAAUUCUUACGAUUCAUAAAGAAUUCUCUCUCUCAUGAUCGUGUUUAAUAUUAAAAUAUUAAUAUUUAAAAUAUGUCACACGUUGUUCCUUCGCUCGAUUUAGUCCUCAUAAAUUUUUAUUCGAAAUUGAUAUUGAUCACUUUUAUAACUGAUUACUUGUGAUCGCUAUUAAACCGACAGUUUUAUCCCAUUCCCUCCAACCCCACUUCCAUCUCUUAUCCCCAUCUCCCAGGACUCUUUUCUUCAUAGGAAAUUAAUACAAUAAUAUCGACGUAAGAUGCGAUUAUACUUUAGAGAGAAAAAAGAAGAAAAAAAAAAAAAGAAAAAAAAAAAGAAAGAAAAGAAAAUAAUCCAUAAUACGUCUUAAUAUGCAUCUCGUACUUUCCCUUGAUGGUAUUAAAAAAUCAUCUGAAGGUUAUAUAAGAACGAAAAAUAUCUUCUUCCUAAAAUUAACGAAACUGUUAAAAUUACAAAAGAUAAAAAAUAAAAAUAAAAAGAGAGGAAAAAAAUAAUCAUUUCGAGUAAAAUCGAUUAUUAUUUUAAAAGUCACUCGAAAGGCACGUACAAACGGUACGUAAAUUUCUCCCCACUCUUCCUAGAUUUUCGCAAAGUGACAAAGAUGGACGAUAAACAAACUAACAAACAAACAAACUAACAAACUAACAAACUAACGAACUAACGAACGAUCAAACAAAACAAACAAACAAACAAACAAACAAAUGAAAGAAAAAAAAAAGAAAGAUAGAAAGGGAGAAUUAGAUACGGUCCAAUCUUGUUCGAAAUUGUACGUAUAUAUACAACGAAAUCCACAAAGGAGUAAUCGCGUAGGACAAUAGAGACGAGAGAAAAAGAAAAAAAGAAAAAAAAAUAAAUAAAGAAUAAAGGAAAAGCUCUUUGAGUAAAAAAAUUUGAGGGAAAACAAGAGAAAAAAAAGUAUUAUUAGAUACCAUUAACCGACAAGACUUUUUCUACCGAUCGAUGUUAAUAUCGAGUGCAGU
Long non-coding RNA from Vespa mandarinia (Asian giant hornet), 2937 nucleotides. The record is from RefSeq and is a predicted model, not a curated record. NCBI's taxonomy places the organism in Eukaryota, Metazoa, Arthropoda, Insecta, Hymenoptera, Vespidae.